GACAGGGUAGCUCAGAUGGUUAGAGCACAGGAUUCAUAACCCUGAGGUCGGGAGUUCGAUUCUCCCUCCUGUCACCA
This 77-nucleotide transfer RNA is filed under the name Candidatus Magasanikbacteria bacterium CG_4_10_14_0_2_um_filter_37_12. Its description in RNAcentral is "tRNA-Met". It matches the Rfam family "tRNA". From Rfam's summary of the family: Transfer RNA (tRNA) molecules are approximately 80 nucleotides in length. Their secondary structure includes four short double-helical elements and three loops (D, anti-codon, and T loops). Further hydrogen bonds mediate the characteristic L-shaped molecular structure. tRNAs have two regions of fundamental functional importance: the anti-codon, which is responsible for specific mRNA codon recognition, and the 3' end, to which the tRNAs corresponding amino acid is attached (by aminoacyl-tRNA synthetases). tRNAs cope with the degeneracy of the genetic code in two manners: having more than one tRNA (with a specific anti-codon) for a particular amino acid; and 'wobble' base-pairing, i.e. permitting non-standard base-pairing at the 3rd anti-codon position. Lineage: Bacteria; Candidatus Magasanikiibacteriota. The record is from RNAcentral.